AUAACGGUCCUAAGGUAGCGAAAUUCCUUGUCAGGUAAGUUCUGACCCGCACGAAUGGCGUAACGACUUGAGAGCUGUCUCAACAACAUACCCGGCGAAAUUGAAGUACUGGUAAAGAUGCCAGUUACCCGUGAUAAGACGGAAAGACCCCAUGGAGCUUUACUGUAACUUGAUAUUGAAUUUUUGUAUUACAUGUACAGGAUAGGUGGGAGACAGAGAACUAAUGCCGCCAGGUGUUAGGGAGUCGAUGUUGGGAUACCACUCUUGUAAUAUGAAGGUUCUAACCUGCACCCGUGAAUCCGGGUGGGGGACACUGUCAGGUGGACAGUUUGACUGGGGCGGUCGCCUCCUAAAAGGUAACGGAGGCGUUCAAAGGUUGGUUCAGCACGGACGGAAAUCGUGCAACGAGUGCAAACGCAUAAACCAGCCUAACUGCGAGACCGACAAGUCGAGCAGUAACGAAAGUUGGAGUUAGUGAUCCGGCGGUAUGAGAGUGGAAUUGCCGUCGCUCAACGGAUAAAAGCUACCCUGGGGAUAACAGGCUGAUCUCCCCCAAGAGUCCACAUCGACGGGGAGGUUUGGCACCUCGAUGUCGGCUCAUCGCAUCCUGGGGCUGAAGUCGGUUCCAAGGGUUGGGCUGUUCGCCCAUUAAAGCGGUACGCGAGCUGGGUUCAGAACGUCGCGAGACAGUUCGGUCCCUAUCUAUCACGGGCGUAGGAAAUUUGAGGAGAGCUGACCUUAGUACGAGAGGACCGGGUUGGACGUACCGCUGGUGCACCUGUUGUUCUGCCAAGGGCAUAGCAGGGUAGCUAAGUACGGACGGGAUAAACGCUGAAGGCAUCUAAGCGUGAAGCCCCCUUCGAGAUAAGAUUUCCCAUAGCGUAGGCUAGUAAGGACCCAUGAAGACUACAUGGUUGAUAGGCCGGAGGUGGAAGUGCAGUAAUGUAUGUAGCUGACCGGUACUAAUAGUCCGAGGGCUUGACCAA
RNAcentral lists this ribosomal RNA (986 nucleotides) under human gut metagenome. RNAcentral describes it as "bacterial LSU rRNA". It matches the Rfam family "Bacterial large subunit ribosomal RNA", at positions 1942 to 2925 of the family's 2925-position model. The record is from RNAcentral.